This 284-nucleotide ribosomal RNA is filed under the name uncultured fungus. RNAcentral describes it as "partial 18S small subunit ribosomal RNA". It matches the Rfam family "Eukaryotic small subunit ribosomal RNA", at positions 289 to 575 of the family's 1831-position model. Lineage: Eukaryota; Fungi. The record is from RNAcentral.
GGAUGUUCAUUCAAAUAUCUGCCCUAUCAAUUUCGAUGGUAGGAUAGAGGCCUACAUGGUAUCAACGGGUAACGGGGCAAUUCAAGGUUCGAUUCCGGAAGGGAAGCUUGAGAAACGGUACAAAUCCAAAGGAAGGCAGCAGGGCGCAAAUUACCCAAUCCCGAACGGGAAGGUAGUGACAAUAAAUAACAAUACAGGGCUUUCUAGUACUUGUAAUUGGAAUGAGUACAAUUUUAAAUCUCUUAAGAGGAACCAAUUGGAGGGCAAGGUCUGGUGCAGAAGAC